This 496-nucleotide ribosomal RNA is filed under the name uncultured bacterium. RNAcentral describes it as "bacterial SSU rRNA". It matches the Rfam family "Bacterial small subunit ribosomal RNA", at positions 30 to 518 of the family's 1533-position model. The record is from RNAcentral.
UGAACGCUAGCGACAGGCUUAACACAUGCAAGUCGAGGGGUAACAGGGUAGCAAUACCGCUGACGACCGGCGCACGGGUGAGUAACGCGUAUGCAACCUGCCUAUAACUGGGGAAUAGCUCCCUGAAAGGGGAAUUAACACCGCAUAAUACUAUUGAUUCGCAUGGAUUAGUAGUUAAAUGUAGCGAUACAGGUUAUAGAUGGGCAUGCGUGACAUUAGCUAGUUGGUGAGGUAACGGCUCACCAAGGCUACGAUGUCUAGGGGUUCUGAGAGGAAGGUCCCCCCACACUGGUACUGAGACACGGACCAGACUCCUACGGGAGGCAGCAGUGAGGAAUAUUGGUCGAUGGGCGCAAGCCUGAACCAGCCAUGUCGCGUGCAGGAAGACUGCCCUAUGGGUUGUAAACUGCUUUUAUAGUAGAAGAAACACAUCUACGUGUAGAUGUCUGCCAGUAUACUAUGAAUAAGCAUCGGCUAACUCCGUGCCAGCAGCCGC